UUCCGAUACGCCUCCUAACCAGUGCAGUUGUUUGCAUCUGCUUACCAGGGCUUAAAUAAGGCCUUCCACAUGCCAAAAUACUGGAAUGGCAUGGACUUUAUUGUAUUUUUAUUUGGUUUUUGAAAGCUUCUUUCAGGGCAGUUUUAAUCCUUCCCCUAUCCCACCCUAUGGAACAGAAGCAAAACACUUGGGAUUUUAAACUGUUGCUCACAUAAAGCAGAGGUAUCUUUCAUCCCUGAGGAGCCUGAGCCGGCUCUUAAUAUCAGGGCUUACUAAUAGUUCUUAGAAAGCACGCAAAAGUGAACUUGCAGGGGGAGAGCAGCUUCUCAUCAGAAGUAAGUUGUGUUGAAAGAUCCAGGUUUUAAAUAAUAUAUACUUCCUUCAAAACAACCUGGGUGGAGGAGUUUAUAUUUUGUUUGUUUUCAGACUGCAGAAAGCCUUCAGGCAACACACUCCUGAAAUUAAAGUCAGACUUAAAUCCAAACAAACUGUUUCUUCUGAUGUGCUGCCCUCAGACUCACAGCAGAAUUUUCCUUCAUCAGGAUUGGAACUUCGGAUGCCCAUCCUGCGAGCAGUUUUCAGUCUGUGAACAAAGUGAAGAGGAGGCCUCUGUUUUUCCCUGACAGAGUCAGCCAUGUGGAGAAUCUGGCGGCUCUACAGAGCACAGCCUGGUGAGUGCAGCCUAAACACUCCAGGCUGUUUGCUUUCAGCUCUGGAACUGUGGUGCAUAGAGGUAAACUGCUGAACGGUGAUUGCCUGCUCAGGACACCGUGGGCAGAGAACUGACUCAGAGGCAAAGGGCCGGGCGUCUGAUGAAACUGCUUCCCCCACAAAUCACACGUCCGCCUAUCUGCUGCCCAAAACAAGGUUGGGGUAGGUGGGUAAGGCCCACCCCGAGCAUGCUUCGUUUCCCAGUGAGAACUUCAGCUUCAGGAAACUGGCAUGAUCAACACACUGCUGGUCCAAGAUUCUUCCCCAGAGACCUUGUCUGGCUGCUUACAUCGUGGGGAACAGGAGGAAGGAAAGCAACCUUGUUUAUCUUUCCUCCAAAACAUCUUCAG
Molecule: long non-coding RNA, 1061 nt
Filed under: Chinchilla lanigera (long-tailed chinchilla)
Lineage: Eukaryota; Metazoa; Chordata; Mammalia; Rodentia; Chinchillidae
Description: lncRNA (ENSCLAG00000025477.1)
Source: RNAcentral